Molecule: ribosomal RNA, 292 nt
Filed under: uncultured bacterium
Lineage: Bacteria
Description: partial 16S ribosomal RNA
Rfam family: Bacterial small subunit ribosomal RNA
Source: RNAcentral
GUGCCAGCCGCCGCGGUAAUACGUAGGGGCCGAGCGUUGUCCGGAGUUACUGGGCGUAAAGCGCGCGCAGGCGGCUGUUCAAGCCUGACGUGAAAGCCCCCGGCUCAACCGGGGAGGGUCGUCGGGGACUGGGCAGCUUGAGGUCGGCAGGGGCUGGUGGAAUUCCCGGUGUAGUGGUGAAAUGCGUAGAGAUCGGGAGGAACACCCGUGGCGAAGGCGGCCAGCUGGGCCGGACCUGACGCUGAGGCGCGAAGGCGUGGGGAGCGAACGGGAUUAGAAACCCUUGUAGUCC